Molecule: ribosomal RNA, 325 nt
Filed under: uncultured eukaryote
Lineage: Eukaryota
Description: partial 18S ribosomal RNA
Rfam family: Eukaryotic small subunit ribosomal RNA
Source: RNAcentral
CCCUUAGAUGUUCUGGGCUGCACACGCGCUACACUGGUGCGUUCAGCGAGUUUAGCACCUUAACAGAUAUGUUUGGGUAAUCUUCUGAAAACGCACCGUGAUGGGGAUCGAUUAUUGUAAUUAUUAAUCGUCAACGAGGAAUUCCUAGUAAGUGUGAAUCAUCAGUUCGCGCUGAUUACGUCCCUGCCCUUUGUACACACCGCCCGUCGCUGCUACCGAUUGAGUGGUCCGGUGAAUUAUUCGGACCGGUGGACUGUGGGGAAACCCGCGGCCUGCUGGGAAGUCUUGUGAACCUUAUCACUUAGAGGAAGCAGAAGUCGUAACA